RNAcentral lists this ribosomal RNA (95 nucleotides) under Shewanella scandinavica. Its description in RNAcentral is "partial 16S ribosomal RNA". It matches the Rfam family "Bacterial small subunit ribosomal RNA", at positions 1 to 91 of the family's 1533-position model. Lineage: Bacteria; Pseudomonadati; Pseudomonadota; Gammaproteobacteria; Alteromonadales; Shewanellaceae. The record is from RNAcentral.
UAAUUGAAGAGUUUGAUCAUGGCUCAGAUUGAACGCUGGCGGCAGGCCUAACACAUGCAAGUCGAGCGGCAGCACAAGGGAGUUUACUUCUGAGG